AAACGGCGCGAAUUUGUGUUGAGUUUUGCAUAUCAAUCUUGUGCAGGGGCCAUGCUAAUCUUCUCUGUGUUGUUCCAAUUUUAGUAUAUGAUC
Molecule: small nuclear RNA, 93 nt
Filed under: Ancylostoma caninum (dog hookworm)
Lineage: Eukaryota; Metazoa; Nematoda; Chromadorea; Rhabditida; Ancylostomatidae
Source: RNAcentral